Trichonephila inaurata madagascariensis is the source of this 69-nucleotide non-coding RNA. Lineage: Eukaryota; Metazoa; Arthropoda; Arachnida; Araneae; Nephilidae. The record is from the annotation of a GenBank genome assembly.
GGUUCCGUAGUGUAGUGGUUUUUCACGUUCGCUUCCAGCGAAAGGUCCGGGUUUGAUCCCGGGGGACCA